GACGAAGGGGGCUAGCGUUGUUCGGAAUUACUGGGCGUAAAGCGCGUGUAGGCGGUUGUCCAAGUUGGAUGUGAAAGCCUUGAGCUUAACUCAAGAAAUGCAUUCAGGACUGGAUGACUAGAGGACCGGAGAGGACAGUGGAAUUCCCAGUGUAGUGGUGAAAUACGUAGAGAUUGGGAAGAACACCAGUGGCGAAGGCGGCUAUCUGGACGGUUUCUGACGCUAAGACGCGAAAGCGUGGGGAGCAAACAGG
RNAcentral lists this ribosomal RNA (253 nucleotides) under uncultured bacterium. Its description in RNAcentral is "partial 16S ribosomal RNA". It matches the Rfam family "Bacterial small subunit ribosomal RNA", at positions 524 to 776 of the family's 1533-position model. The record is from RNAcentral.